GUCUCUGUUGGUUGUUGGGGUCAAACCUUUCUCAGACGAUGGACAGACUACCAAAAGAAAGAGAGACAUGGGCCAAUCGUGCAGAGUUCAUCCUUUCUUCAGUAGGCUAUGCAGUCGGAAUUGGAAAUGUGUGGCGCUUUCCAUACGUCUGCUUCAGCGAUGGCGGAGGUGCAUUCCUCAUUCCCUAUCUCACCAUGAUGUGUCUGUGUGCCAUCCCGCUGGUGUUCAUGGAGUUUACAGUGGGGCAGUACACAAAAAGAGGACCUGUUGAGGCAUUCAUCGACAUCUGUCCUCUUAUGAAAGGUGUGGGUGUGGCUAUGGUGAUGCUGUCCUUCAUCGUGGCCUCCUACAACAACACAGUCCUGACCUGGGUUCUGUACUACCUCUUCCACUCCUUCACAGCCCCGUUGCCAUGGCAGCUCUGUAAUGCCACCUGGAACAUUCCAGAGAACUGUUCCAGCUUCAUGGAAAACACCACCACACACCUGCAGUCCGCCACUAAACAAUUCUUUGACCAUAGGCUCCUGGAAAUCACUGAGGGGAUUGAGACUGUGGGCCACCUGCGAUGGGAGCUGGUUGGAAUUCUCCUGCUGAUCUGGGCCAUCCUAUUCUUCUCUGUCUUCAAGGGGAUCAGAACCACUGGCAAAGUGGUGUACUUCACAGCACUGUUUCCAUAUGUGGUCCUUCUGGCUCUUCUGUUCAACAAUAUCCGACUACCAGGAGCCCUGGAUGGCAUCCUGUUCUUCCUGACACCCAAAUGGAACAAACUGGGAGAGAUACACGUAUGGAUUGAUGCUACUGCUCAGAUCUUCUACUCAAUAGGCAUUGGAUUUGGCUGCUUACUGUCUAUGGCCAGCCACAACAAGGUCAACAAUAACAUCCUCAGGGAUGCAAUGAUUGUCACUUUGGCGAACUCUGCCACCAGUAUUUUUGCUGGCUUCGUCAUGUUCUCUGGCAUCGGCUACAUGGCACAUGUGCGCCACCUCCAAGUGGAGCAACUGGCUGUUGAAGGACCUGGUUUGGCAUUUGUGGUUUACCCAGAGAUCUUCAGCACCAUGCCUGUCUCUCAGCUCUGGGCCUUCCUCUUCUUCCUUAUGCUGAUGUGUCUCGGCCUGGAUAGUCAGUUUGCCCUUGUGGAGGUCAUGGGGACUUUCGUUAUGGACAGCUUUGGCCCAAAGAUUCUCCUCAUGCUGAAAUAUAAAGAGCUGGUGACCCUAUUACUCUGCUUCUUGACCUUCCUGUUUGGCCUUCCCUGCAUUACUCAGGGCGGGGUCUACAUCUUCCAGCUGUUAGACUAUUCUGUUGGCAUAACACUGAUGUUCACUUCUUUAUUUGAAGUCGUUACUCUAAGCUGGAUAUUUGAUUUUUCUCUCCAAAACAAGGCCUCUCGCUUCCAAAGAAGAUUUGUGAAGUAUUUUCUGAACAUGUCCCCAAUGGAGACGUCAUGUGACCUUUCUUUUCAAAGAUUGAUUUCAUAUACAACAAGUAAUGACCUUUGCAGAUAUCAUUCUGAUCAUUGCUUAAAUGCUUUACACUUCCUGCUGAUUUGUAGGAGUAGGGCGGCUCUCCAUCAUGGUGAAAAGGAUUCUGGGAAAGCCUCCAAACAUCUUCUUUAAGGCCUGCUGGUUGGUGGUCUCUCCGCUGUUGAUCGUGGCCAUAUUGGUCACUGCCAUGGUCCAGCACAAACCACUUCUUUACGAGAAGACAUAUCUCUACCCAGCAUGGGCUGAAGGUGUUGCAUGGAUCAUCAUCUUUCUGUCCGUUGGCUGGAUCCCUCUUGGAGCCAUGCAUGAGCUUUUUGGAAGGAAAGGCACUUGUUUAGCGAGGCUGAAGGCAUCGGUGACUCCCAGGAUCACCCUGGAGGAGGUCUAUAAUGUGCCUGUCAAUGAAGACCAACACCAGGACCAUGUUAAGUCUCUGUACAGCCUCUCUGAGGUCAGUCCUCUACGUGAAGAGAAAGACCGUGGGGACAUGUAGGCUCCUGUGUGACCCAUCUGCUAGAGCACGGGGUUUGCAAUGACAUGGUCAUGGCUACGAUUCCAGCUGGGGCAUUCUAUGUCUAUAUGCUCACAAUGUCCAUUGAAUAUACAUCUGAUAAGCACGAAUACUUAAUAAAGGAAUGUGACACUGUCAAUAUUUUA
This is an RNA transcript of Oncorhynchus kisutch (coho salmon), 2141 nucleotides long. It is a transcript of the gene named sodium- and chloride-dependent betaine transporter, with no coding region annotated. The record is from RefSeq and is a predicted model, not a curated record. NCBI's taxonomy places the organism in Eukaryota, Metazoa, Chordata, Actinopteri, Salmoniformes, Salmonidae. The transcript has 13 exons.